Molecule: small nuclear RNA, 108 nt
Organism: Sorex fumeus (smoky shrew)
Lineage: Eukaryota; Metazoa; Chordata; Mammalia; Eulipotyphla; Soricidae
Source: RefSeq, a predicted model, not a curated record
GUUUGCCACUUCAGCAGCACAGAGACUAAAGUUGGAACCAUACAGAGAAGAUAAGCAUUGUCUCCGGGCAAGGAUGACAUGCAAGUCCGUGAAGCUUUCCAUAUAUUU